UGUUAAAAGCUUAUCUAUUUCUACUGUUUAAAAGUUAAUGUGGCUGGCAAAAUUACCUGACAGUUACAAGUGAUUACAAGUGAUGUGCCAUCUGUACCUCAUUCUAACCUAGACGGAUCAGUUUUUAGUAGUAGAAUUGAUGAAAUUUUUAACA
Molecule: non-coding RNA, 154 nt
Organism: Gossypium raimondii (Peruvian cotton)
Lineage: Eukaryota; Viridiplantae; Streptophyta; Magnoliopsida; Malvales; Malvaceae
Source: Rfam